This 249-nucleotide unclassified non-coding RNA is filed under the name plant metagenome. Its description in RNAcentral is "partial contains small subunit ribosomal RNA, internal transcribed spacer 1, and 5.8S ribosomal RNA". The stretch from base 201 to 249 matches the Rfam family "5.8S ribosomal RNA", at positions 1 to 49 of the family's 154-position model. The record is from RNAcentral.
UAUCCGUAGGUGAACCUGCGGAGGGAUCAUUACAGAGUUCAUGCCCUACCGGGUAGAUCUCCCACCCUAUGUUAUUAUUACUUUGUUGCUUUGGCAGGCCGUUAGGCUCCGGCCCGACUACCGGCCCCGGCUGGUAAGCGCCCGCCAGAGGACCCAAAACCCUGAAUAUUAGUGUCGUCUGAGUACUAUAUAAUAGUUAAAACUUUCAACAACGGAUCUCUUGGUUCUGACAUCGAUGAAGAACGCAGC